This 2821-nucleotide ribosomal RNA is filed under the name Paraisaria heteropoda. RNAcentral's name for it is "SSU rRNA". The stretch from base 1 to 1259 matches the Rfam family "Bacterial small subunit ribosomal RNA". The record is from RNAcentral. Lineage: Eukaryota; Fungi; Ascomycota; Sordariomycetes; Hypocreales; Ophiocordycipitaceae.
UUUUAAUUAUAAAUGGACAUAGGUCCAUCGGGCUUGCUUCCCUAUCAAGUUUACAAAUAUAAUUAAAAAGUGGUGUACAGGUGAGUAUAAAGAUAUUCUUGGCCGUCCUUAAAGUGAAGGUAAAUCCUUCAUAAUAAAUAAAGGGAGGCGUAUCACCCGCUUUAAGAGGAUAAUAAAUAUCUUCGAGAUAGGUAGUAGUUAAGGUGAUGGCUUAACUAGCCUAUAACUCUCGUAGUCGAAUCUGAAAGGUUGAUCGACCACAUUGGGUCUGAAAAAACCCCAAUGCAAUUUAGUACAGCAGUGAGGAAUCUUGGUCAAUGGCCUAACGGCUGAACUGGCAACUUGAAGAAGCUAAUUAAAUCUUCGGAAGAUUCUAUUAUAUUCUUGAAUAUAAUAUAAGUGGUUGUAUUAAAUGGUUUAAUAAAUAGUUUUGUUUAUAUAUAGAUAAUGACAAUAUAUAUAUACAGUCUUGACUAAUUACGUGCCAGCAGUCGCGGUAAUACGUAAGAGACUAGUGUUAUUCAUCUUAAUUAGGUUUAAAGGGUACCUAGACGGUCAAUAUAGCUUCUAUGUUGUUAGUACUUGACUAGAGUUUUAUGUAAGAGAGUAGUACUUAAGGAGUAGACCUGAAAGUCUGUAAUACCCUAGGGACUCGGUAAAGGCGAAGGCAGCUCUCCAUGUAAAAACUGACGUUGAAGGACGAAGGCUCAGAGCACAAAUAGGAUUAGAUACCCUAGUAGUCUUUGCAGUAAAUGAUGAAUGCCAUAGGUCAGAUUAAGAUUUAAUAAUUUAUGUUUAUCAGUAUGGAACUAAAUAUUGAACAAAUUUGGUCUAUAAAUGAAAGUGUAAGCAUUUCACCUCAAGAGUAAUGUGGCAACGCAGGAACUGAAAUCACUAGACCGUUUCUAACACCAGUAGUGAAGUAUGUUGUUUAAUUCGAUGAUCCUCGAAAAACCUUACCACAAUUUGUAUAAUAAUAUUACAGGAGUUGCACGGCUGUUUUCGGUUAAUGUUGUGAAACUGUGGUUUCCAUGAAAUUAACGAAAUCCCUGGCUUUAUUUUUUCUUUUCAAUUUAGCGAUAAAGCAUUUGAACCCAAAAAUUGGGAAAGAAAAAGGGGACUAAGACAAGUCAUCAUGGCCUGCUUGAUGAUGUAGGAAGUCAUCUGUGUGGGUAAAACUAUCAAAUUCCGGGGACAUCCAAAAAAUUUUGAUACUAAACUAUAAUCGAAAGAUUAUAUGUGGCUGAAUUAAUUCUUCAGGUGUAGUAACAAGUCAAAAUAAGAAUGAAAAUGAAAUGGAUUAUCGCGGAUCUAAGUCAGCAAUACGUAAUAGUAUUACUGUAAAAGAGCAACGAGUAGAUGGUAGUUGAUACAUUAAAAAUAACUUAAUGUGUUUAAGGUGUACUCUAAUAAAUUUCGAAAGAAAUUCUCAAGUCAAAAUCCUUUCUAUGCAAAUAAGUAACAUAAGAAAAUAUACUUCUAUUACAACCCACAAGCCAUUAACUAUUACGAAACUUCAAUCUAGUUUAAAUCCAUGAUUUUUAACAGGGUUUUCUUUUUUUUUUAUAUUCAUAAAAAAACAGCAGAAGGAUCUUUUUCUAUUUUGAUUCAAACUAAUAAUAAAUAUGCUACAGGUUGAAGAAUUAAACCUAUAUUUACUAUAGGGUUACAUAAAAAAGACCUAGAUUUAUUGAACAAAAUUCAAUCUUAUUUAGGUAUAGGUAAAAUUCAUAUUCACGGUAAAGAUUCUAUACAAUUUCGUGUAGAUUCCUUGAAGGAUUUACAAAUUCUUUUAAAUCAUUUUGAGAACUUUCCACUUGUAACGGCUAAACUAGCUGAUUAUAUUUUAUUUAAGAAAGCUUUUGACAUAAUUCUUCUAAAAGAACAUUUGUCUCAAGAAGGUCUGUUAAAAUUAGUAGGAAUAAAAGCAUCACUAAAUUUAGGACUUAAUCAAAAUAUAAAAAAAGCGUUUUCUAAUUGAGAAGAAUUACAAGUCAAUAGACCUAAUUAUACUUUUAAAAGUAUACCCGAUUCAAAUUGAAUGGCAGGAUUUGCUAGUGGAGAUAGUAGCUUUAAUAUAAAAACAAGUAAAUCGACUACUAGUGCAUUAGGUCAAAGAGUUCAAUUAAGAUUCGCGAUAGAAUUAAAUAUCAGAGAAAAGGAUUUUGUAGAACAUUUACCUGCUUAUUUUAAGUUAAGGGAUCCUUUAAAAAAUGUAUAUAUUGAUAAUAAGGUUGCAAGAUUUCAAAUAGUAAACUAUUUUGACAUUACAGAUAAAAUCCUUCCUUUUUUUGAAAAGUAUUUAAUACAAGGUAAAAAAAGUUUAGAUUUUAUAAGUUUUAAAGAGGUAGCCUUAAUUAUUAAGAAUAAAGAUCAUUUAAAUUUAGAAGGCUUUAAAGAAAUAUUAGAUAUAAAAGAUAGAAUGAACAAGUAAUAGGAAAAAAAAAUUAAAGUACAUUUAAUCUAUUUACUUAUUUGUACGAUAAAUUUGAUCGCUAUGUGAUAUUGUGGGCUAUAGACGUGCCGCAUAUUCCUACACAAAGAGAUGCAAAAAUGUGAAUUUAAGCUAAUCUCAAAAAUAGGAUAUAAAAAAUUUAAAAAAAGGAUUGUAGUCUGAAAUUCGACUAUAUGAAUAAGUAAUUACUAGUAAUCGUGAAUCACCAUGUCACGGUGAAUAGACCUUGGAUUGGUACUAACCACUCGUCACAUGCUGAAAAGAGCGUGCGCAAUAAGUUUGCCUUCUUAUUAAUUCGACAAAAAACAUGCGGGUUUGUUUAAUCUAUUGAUAGGAAUCUUCGUAUGCGUGGCUCUAAUUAGUGUU